This 450-nucleotide ribosomal RNA is filed under the name uncultured bacterium. RNAcentral's name for it is "partial 16S ribosomal RNA". It matches the Rfam family "Bacterial small subunit ribosomal RNA", at positions 354 to 796 of the family's 1533-position model. The record is from RNAcentral.
GUGGGGAAUUUUGGACAAUGGGCGCAAGCCUGAUCCAGCAAUGCCGCGUGCAGGAAGAAGGCCUUCGGGUUGUAAACUGCUUUUGUACGGAACGAAACGGUCCUGGCUAAUAUCCGGGGCUAAUGACGGUACCGUAAGAAUAAGCACCGGCUAACUACGUGCCAGCAGCCGCGGUAAUACGUAGGGUGCGAGCGUUAAUCGGAAUUACUGGGCGUAAAGCGUGCGCAGGCGGUGCUGUAAGACAGGCGUGAAAUCCCCGGGCUCAACCUGGGAAUUGCGCUUGGGACUGCAGUGGUGGAGUGCGGCAGAGGGGGAUGGAAUUCCGCGUGUAGCAGUGAAAUGCGUAGAUAUGCGGAGGAACACCGAUGGCGAAGGCAAUCCCCUGGGCCUGCACUGACGCUCAUGCACGAAAGCGUGGGGAGCAAACAGGAUUAGAUACCCUGGUAGUCC